Molecule: long non-coding RNA, 296 nt
Filed under: Mytilus galloprovincialis (Mediterranean mussel)
Lineage: Eukaryota; Metazoa; Mollusca; Bivalvia; Mytilida; Mytilidae
Source: RNAcentral
GUCCUGGUAUCUAUGAUGAGUUUAUUUAGAACCACUGGGUCGAUGCCACUGCUGGUGGAGAUUUAUUUCCCCGAGGGUAUCACAAGCCCAGUAGUCAGCACUGUUUGUGCUGACAUGAAUUGUCAUUGAUAUGAUUAUAUUUAUAAAUUUACUGUUUACAAAUUUUUGAAUUUUUUGAAAUACUAAGGCUUUUCUACCUCAGGCAUAGAUUACUUUAGCUGUAUUUGGCAAAACUUUUAGGAAUUUUGGUUCUCAAUGCUCUUCAACUUCGUACUUUAUUUGGCCUUUUUAACUUU